RNAcentral lists this ribosomal RNA (448 nucleotides) under uncultured bacterium. RNAcentral's name for it is "partial 16S ribosomal RNA". It matches the Rfam family "Bacterial small subunit ribosomal RNA", at positions 330 to 793 of the family's 1533-position model. The record is from RNAcentral.
UCCAGACUCCUACGGGAGGCAGCAGUGGGGAAUAUUGGGCAAUGGGCGAAAGCCUGACCCAGCAACGCCGCGUGAAGGAAGAAGGCUUUCGGGUUGUAAACUUCUUUUGACAGGGAAGAGCAGAAGACGGUACCUGUCGAAUAAGCCACGGCUAACUACGUGCCAGCAGCCGCGAUAAUACGUAGGUGGCAAGCGUUAUCCGGAUUUACUGGGUGUAAAGGGAGCGUAGACGGCGGUGCAAGCCAGAUGUGAAAGCCCGGGGCUCAACCCCGGGACUGCUCUUGGAACUGCGCGGCUGGAGUGCAGGAGGGGCAGGCGGAAUUCCUAGUGUAGCGGUGAAAUGCGUAGAUAUUAGGAGGAACACCGGCGGCGAAGGCGGCCUGCUGGACCGUAACUGACGUUGAGGCUCGAAAGCGUGGGGAGCAAACAGGAUUAGAUACCCCUGUAU